AAUGGCGCCACUAGGGUUGUGU
Molecule: non-coding RNA, 22 nt
Filed under: Cervus elaphus (red deer)
Lineage: Eukaryota; Metazoa; Chordata; Mammalia; Artiodactyla; Cervidae
Also listed under: 1 other name
Source: RNAcentral